AGCAUCCUCACCGCCUGGUUACUGCAGCAUUUGACACACAGGAGAGAAAAGGAGAAAAGAAAAGAUCACACACUUCACUGCUGAAAACGCUCUGGUCCACAUCUCAGAGCUUUAGGGACGUGGUGGAGAUGUAAUGAACCAUCUGAAUGAAGGGCAGGGGGUCCGAAGAGGCUCCACAGCUGCUGCACACACACUCAUGUUCUGGAUCUAAACAAGGGCCAGAGCUUGCUGUGCAGAGCCGUUUCUGUUUAAUCGGAUGAAGAAACGAUUCAAGCCAACAAAGUCCAGAUUUCCAUCUUGUCACCAAAUCUUUGCUGUGGUAAAGAAAUCGGAAGACUGGAUUUGUACGUGUAAGUCGGACCAGUGGAG
Molecule: long non-coding RNA, 369 nt
Organism: Gambusia affinis (western mosquitofish)
Lineage: Eukaryota; Metazoa; Chordata; Actinopteri; Cyprinodontiformes; Poeciliidae
Exons: 4
Source: RefSeq, a predicted model, not a curated record